GCAUAACGCGAAGAACCUUACCUACUCUUGACAUCUACGGAAGACUGCAGAGAUAGGGCUUUCCUUCGGGGCAGCGGUGACAGGUGGUGCAUGGUUGUCGUCAGCUCGUGUCGUGAGAUGUUGGGUUAAGUCCCGCAACGAGCGCAACCCUUAUCUUUAGUUGCCAGCAUUCAGUUGGGCACUCUAGAGAGACUGCCGUCGACAAGACGGAGGAAGGCGGGGAUGACGUCAAAUCAUCAUGCCCCUUAUGACCUGGGCUACACACGUGCUACAAUGGUUGGUACAACGGGAUGCUACCUCGCGAGAGGAUGCCAAUCUCUUAAAACCAAUCUCAGUUCGGAUUGCAGGCUGCAACUCGCCUACAUGAAGUCGGAAUCGCUAGUAAUCGCGGAUCAGCAUGCCGCGGUGAAUACGUUCCCGGGUCUUGUACACACCG
RNAcentral lists this ribosomal RNA (436 nucleotides) under uncultured bacterium. RNAcentral describes it as "bacterial SSU rRNA". It matches the Rfam family "Bacterial small subunit ribosomal RNA", at positions 954 to 1392 of the family's 1533-position model. The record is from RNAcentral.